Molecule: ribosomal RNA, 414 nt
Filed under: uncultured bacterium
Lineage: Bacteria
Description: bacterial SSU rRNA
Rfam family: Bacterial small subunit ribosomal RNA
Source: RNAcentral
ACUAGUGGCGGACGGGUGAGUAACGCGUGGGUAACCUACCUCAGUACAGGGGGAUAACAGUUGGAAACGACUGCUAACACCGCAUAACAAGUUGGACCGCAUGAUCCUAACUUCAAAGUAUUUAUAGGGUAUGAGAUGGGCCCGCGUCUGGAUUAGCUAGUUGGUGGGGUAAUGGCCUACCAAGGCGACGAUCAGUAGCCGGCUUGAGAGAGUGACCGGCCACAUUGGGACUGAGACACGGCCCAAACUCCUACGGGAGGCAGCAGUGGGGAAUAUUGGACAAUGGGGGCAACCCUGAUCCAGCGAACCGCCGCGUGAGUGAAGAAGUAUUUCGGUAUGUAAAGCUCUAUCAGCAGGGAAGAUAAUGACAGUACCUGACUAAGAAGCCCCGGCUAACUACGUGCCAGCCGCUGC